RNAcentral lists this ribosomal RNA (496 nucleotides) under uncultured bacterium. RNAcentral describes it as "partial 16S ribosomal RNA". It matches the Rfam family "Bacterial small subunit ribosomal RNA", at positions 29 to 507 of the family's 1533-position model. The record is from RNAcentral.
AUGCACGCUGGCGGCGUGCCUAAUACAUGCCAGUCGCGCGAACAGACGAGGAGCUUGCUCCUCUGACGUUAGCGGCGGACGGGUGAGUAACACGUGGAUAACCUACCUAUAAGACUGGGAUAACUUCGGGAAACCGGAGCUAAUACCGGAUAAUAUAUUGAACCGCAUGGUUCAAUAGUGAAAGACGGUUUUGCUGUCACUUAUAGAUGGAUCCGCGCCGCAUUAGCUAGUUGGUAAGGUAACGGCUUACCAAGGCAACGAUGCGUAGCCGACCUGAGAGGGUGAUCGGCCACACUGGAACUGAGACACGGUCCAGACUCCUACGGGAGGCAGCAGUAGGGAAUCUUCCGCAAUGGGCGAGAGCCUGACGGAGCAACGCCGCGUGAGUGAUGAAGGUCUUCGGAUCGUAAAACUCUGUUAUUAGGGAAGAACAAAUGUGUAAGUAACUAUGCACGUCUUGACGGUACCUAAUCAGAAAGCCACGGCUAACUACGUG